AACUUCAUAUUUGAAACAGGUGUCCGAAAGGACUUAAUAGGGAAGUCGGUGAAAGACCGACACGGUCCCGCCACUGUAAUGCAGAGUAAAUUCGAUGAUGUCACUGAGAUAAUUGGGAAGACCGAAGGCACGAUGAAGCAGAGUCAGGAGAACUGCCUGUUUUGGCUGCUGUUU
This 174-nucleotide non-coding RNA is filed under the name Veillonellaceae bacterium DNF00626. Lineage: Bacteria; Bacillati; Bacillota; Negativicutes; Veillonellales; Veillonellaceae. RNAcentral also lists the same sequence under 1 other name. The record is from RNAcentral.